GUUACGGUUUCUAAUUUCAACCGGUUAGGGUUAUAAUAAUUAGGGUUUGUCCUAAUUAUCGACGUACAACAGUAAUUAGGGUUUCUUCUAAUUACCGAUAUUCUUAUUCACAGUAACUUCAUAUACACAGUCACUACUCAGAAAUACCCCAUAACUGAGUUUAAUAAUUAGGGUUUCACAGCACGGUAAUAUGCUAUGACCUAAUUGACCGUCAUUGCUCAAUAUUAU
Molecule: long non-coding RNA, 228 nt
Filed under: Panax ginseng (ginseng)
Lineage: Eukaryota; Viridiplantae; Streptophyta; Magnoliopsida; Apiales; Araliaceae
Description: long non-coding RNA (PGIN_LNC006549)
Source: RNAcentral